CCUACGGGUGGCUGCAGUGGGGAAUAUUGGACAAUGGGCGAAAGCCUGAUCCAGCCAUGCCGCGUGUGUGAAGACGGCCUUCGGGUUGUAAAGCACUUUCAGUGGGGAAGAAAGCCUUGGGGCUAAUACCCUCGAGGAAGGACAUCACCCACAGAAGAAGCACCGGCUAACUCCGUGCCAGCAGCCGCGGUAAUACGGAGGGUGCGAGCGUUAAUCGGAAUUACUGGGCGUAAAGCGCGCGUAGGCGGUCUGAUAAGCCGGUUGUGAAAGCCCCGGGCUCAACCUGGGAACGGCAUCCGGAACUGUCAGGCUAGAGUGCAGGAGAGGAAGGUAGAAUUCCCGGUGUAGCGGUGAAAUGCGUAGAGAUCGGGAGGAAUACCAGUGGCGAAGGCGGCCUUCUGGACUGACACUGACGCUGAGGUGCGAAAGCGUGGGUAGCAAACAGGAUUAGAUACCCGAGUAGUC
Molecule: ribosomal RNA, 465 nt
Filed under: Vreelandella stevensii
Lineage: Bacteria; Pseudomonadati; Pseudomonadota; Gammaproteobacteria; Oceanospirillales; Halomonadaceae
Description: partial 16S ribosomal RNA
Rfam family: Bacterial small subunit ribosomal RNA
Source: RNAcentral